CGAGGAAGUAACGUUCCUUUUCCUUCGGGACAGAGGAGACAGGUGGUGCAUGGUUGUCGUCAGCUCGUGUCGUGAGAUGUUGGGUUAAGUCCCGCAACGAGCGCAACCCUUACCUUCAGUAGCCAGCGAGUAAAGUCGGGCACUCUGGAGGGACUGCCAGGGAUAACCUGGAGGAAGGUGGGGAUGACGUCAAAUCAUCAUGCCCCUUAUGAUUUGGGCUACACACGUGCUACAAUGGCGUAAACAAAGGGAAGCGAAGCCGUGAGGUGAAGCAAAUCCCAAAAAUAACGUCUCAGUUCGGAUUGUAGUCUGCAACUCGACUACAUGAAGCUGGAAUCGCUAGUAAUCGCGAAUCAGAAUGUCGCGGUGAAUACGUUCCCGGGUCUUGUACACACCGCCCGUCACACCAUGGGGGUUGGUAACGCCCGAAGUCAGUGACUCAACCGAAAGGGGAGAGCUGCCGAAGGCGGGACUGAUAACUGGGGUGAAGUCGUAACAAGGUAGCCGUAUCGGAAGGUGCGGUUGGAUCACCUC
Molecule: ribosomal RNA, 534 nt
Filed under: uncultured bacterium
Lineage: Bacteria
Description: bacterial SSU rRNA
Rfam family: Bacterial small subunit ribosomal RNA
Source: RNAcentral